This 2916-nucleotide ribosomal RNA is filed under the name Escherichia coli. RNAcentral describes it as "23S ribosomal RNA". It matches the Rfam family "Bacterial large subunit ribosomal RNA". The record is from RNAcentral. Lineage: Bacteria; Pseudomonadati; Pseudomonadota; Gammaproteobacteria; Enterobacterales; Enterobacteriaceae.
GGUUAAGCGACUAAGCGUACACGGUGGAUGCCCUGGCAGUCAGAGGCGAUGAAGGACGUGCUAAUCUGCGAUAAGCGUCGGUAAGGUGAUAUGAACCGUUAUAACCGGCGAUUUCCGAAUGGGGAAACCCAGUGUGUUUCGACACACUAUCAUUAACUGAAUCCAUAGGUUAAUGAGGCGAACCGGGGGAACUGAAACAUCUAAGUACCCCGAGGAAAAGAAAUCAACCGAGAUUCCCCCAGUAGCGGCGAGCGAACGGGGAGCAGCCCAGAGCCUGAAUCAGUAUGUGUGUUAGUGGAAGCGUCUGGAAAGGCGCGCGAUACAGGGUGACAGCCCCGUACACAAAAAUGCACAUGCUGUGAGCUCGAUGAGUAGGGCGGGACACGUGGUAUCCUGUCUGAAUAUGGGGGGACCAUCCUCCAAGGCUAAAUACUCCUGACUGACCGAUAGUGAACCAGUACCGUGAGGGAAAGGCGAAAAGAACCCCGGCGAGGGGAGUGAAAAAGAACCUGAAACCGUGUACGUACAAGCAGUGGGAGCACGCUUAGGCGUGUGACUGCGUACCUUUUGUAUAAUGGGUCAGCGACUUAUAUUCUGUAGCAAGGUUAACCGAAUAGGGGAGCCGAAGGGAAACCGAGUCUUAACUGGGCGUUAAGUUGCAGGGUAUAGACCCGAAACCCGGUGAUCUAGCCAUGGGCAGGUUGAAGGUUGGGUAACACUAACUGGAGGACCGAACCGACUAAUGUUGAAAAAUUAGCGGAUGACUUGUGGCUGGGGGUGAAAGGCCAAUCAAACCGGGAGAUAGCUGGUUCUCCCCGAAAGCUAUUUAGGUAGCGCCUCGUGAAUUCAUCUCCGGGGGUAGAGCACUGUUUCGGCAAGGGGGUCAUCCCGACUUACCAACCCGAUGCAAACUGCGAAUACCGGAGAAUGUUAUCACGGGAGACACACGGCGGGUGCUAACGUCCGUCGUGAAGAGGGAAACAACCCAGACCGCCAGCUAAGGUCCCAAAGUCAUGGUUAAGUGGGAAACGAUGUGGGAAGGCCCAGACAGCCAGGAUGUUGGCUUAGAAGCAGCCAUCAUUUAAAGAAAGCGUAAUAGCUCACUGGUCGAGUCGGCCUGCGCGGAAGAUGUAACGGGGCUAAACCAUGCACCGAAGCUGCGGCAGCGACGCUGAUGCGUUGUUGGGUAGGGGAGCGUUCUGUAAGCCUGCGAAGGUGUGCUGUGAGGCAUGCUGGAGGUAUCAGAAGUGCGAAUGCUGACAUAAGUAACGAUAAAGCGGGUGAAAAGCCCGCUCGCCGGAAGACCAAGGGUUCCUGUCCAACGUUAAUCGGGGCAGGGUGAGUCGACCCCUAAGGCGAGGCCGAAAGGCGUAGUCGAUGGGAAACAGGUUAAUAUUCCUGUACUUGGUGUUACUGCGAAGGGGGGACGGAGAAGGCUAUGUUGGCCGGGCGACGGUUGUCCCGGUUUAAGCGUGUAGGCUGGUUUUCCAGGCAAAUCCGGAAAACUAAGGCUGAGGCGUGAUGACGAGGUACUACGGUGCUGAAGCAACAAAUGCCCUGCUUCCAGGAAAAGCCUCUAAGCAUCAGGUAACAUCAAAUCGUACCCCAAACCGACACAGGUGGUCAGGUAGAGAAUACCAAGGCGCUUGAGAGAACUCGGGUGAAGGAACUAGGCAAAAUGGUGCCGUAACUUCGGGAGAAGGCACGCUGAUAUGUAGGUGAAGUCCCUCGCGGAUGGAGCUGAAAUCAGUCGAAGAUACCAGCUGGCUGCAACUGUUUAUUAAAAACACAGCACUGUGCAAACACGAAAGUGGACGUAUACGGUGUGACGCCUGCCCGGUGCCGGAAGGUUAAUUGAUGGGGUCAGCGCAAGCGAAGCUCUUGAUCGAAGCCCCGGUAAACGGCGGCCGUAACUAUAACGGUCCUAAGGUAGCGAAAUUCCUUGUCGGGUAAGUUCCGACCUGCACGAAUGGCGUAAUGAUGGCCAGGCUGUCUCCACCCGAGACUCAGUGAAAUUGAACUCGCUGUGAAGAUGCAGUGUACCCGCGGCAAGACGGAAAGACCCCGUGAACCUUUACUAUAGCUUGACACUGAACAUUGAGCCUUGAUGUGUAGGAUAGGUGGGAGGCUUUGAAGUGUGGACGCCAGUCUGCAUGGAGCCGACCUUGAAAUACCACCCUUUAAUGUUUGAUGUUCUAACGUGGACCCGUGAUCCGGGUUGCGGACAGUGUCUGGUGGGUAGUUUGACUGGGGCGGUCUCCUCCUAAAGAGUAACGGAGGAGCACGAAGGUUGGCUAAUCCUGGUCGGACAUCAGGAGGUUAGUGCAAUGGCAUAAGCCAGCUUGACUGCGAGCGUGACGGCGCGAGCAGGUGCGAAAGCAGGUCAUAGUGAUCCGGUGGUUCUGAAUGGAAGGGCCAUCGCUCAACGGAUAAAAGGUACUCCGGGGAUAACAGGCUGAUACCGCCCAAGAGUUCAUAUCGACGGCGGUGUUUGGCACCUCGAUGUCGGCUCAUCACAUCCUGGGGCUGAAGUAGGUCCCAAGGGUAUGGCUGUUCGCCAUUUAAAGUGGUACGCGAGCUGGGUUUAGAACGUCGUGAGACAGUUCGGUCCCUAUCUGCCGUGGGCGCUGGAGAACUGAGGGGGGCUGCUCCUAGUACGAGAGGACCGGAGUGGACGCAUCACUGGUGUUCGGGUUGUCAUGCCAAUGGCACUGCCCGGUAGCUAAAUGCGGAAGAGAUAAGUGCUGAAAGCAUCUAAGCACGAAACUUGCCCCGAGAUGAGUUCUCCCUGACUCCUUGAGAGUCCUGAAGGAACGUUGAAGACGACGACGUUGAUAGGCCGGGUGUGUAAGCGCAGCGAUGCGUUGAGCUAACCGGUACUAAUGAACCGUGAGGCUUAACCUUACAACGCCGAAG